GUGCCUAAUACAUGCAAGUCGAGCGAACAGACGAGGAGCUUGCUCCUCUGACGUUAGCGGCGGACGGGUGAGCAACACGUGGAUAACCUACCUAUAAGACUGGGAUAACUUCGGGAAACCGGAGCUAAUACCGGAUAAUAUAUUGAACCGCAUGGUUCAAUAGUGAAAGACGGUUUUGCUGUCACUUAUAGAUGGAUCCGCGCCGCAUUAGCUAGUUGGUAAGGUAACGGCUUACCAAGGCAACGAUGCGUAGCCGACCUGAGAGGGUGAUCGGCCACACUGGAACUGAGACACGGUCCAGACUCCUACGGGAGGCAGCAGUAGGGAAUCUUCCGCAAUGGGCGAAAGCCUGGCGGAGCAACGCCGCGUGAGUGAUGAAGGUCUUCGGAUCGUAAAACUCUGUUAUUAGGGAAGAACAAAUGUGUAAGUAACUAUGCACGUCUUGACGGUACCUAAUCAGAAAGCCACGGCUAACUACGUGCCAGCAGCCGCGGUAAUACGUAGGUGGCAAGCGUUAUCCGGAAUUAUUGGGCGUAAAGCGCGCGUAGGCGGUUUUUUAAGUCUGAUGUGAAAGCCCACGGCUCAACCGUGGAGGGUCAUUGGAAACUGGAAAACUUGAGUGCAGAAGAGGAAAGUGGAAUUCCAUGUGUAGCGGUGAAAUGCGCAGAGAUAUGGAGGAACACCAGUGGCGAAGGCGACUUUCUGGUCUGUAACUGACGCUGAUGUGCG
RNAcentral lists this ribosomal RNA (729 nucleotides) under uncultured Staphylococcus sp. RNAcentral describes it as "bacterial SSU rRNA". It matches the Rfam family "Bacterial small subunit ribosomal RNA", at positions 44 to 755 of the family's 1533-position model. Lineage: Bacteria; Bacillati; Bacillota; Bacilli; Caryophanales; Staphylococcaceae. The record is from RNAcentral.